This 1554-nucleotide ribosomal RNA is filed under the name Salmonella enterica subsp. enterica serovar Anatum. Its description in RNAcentral is "bacterial SSU rRNA". It matches the Rfam family "Bacterial small subunit ribosomal RNA". Lineage: Bacteria; Pseudomonadati; Pseudomonadota; Gammaproteobacteria; Enterobacterales; Enterobacteriaceae. RNAcentral also lists the same sequence under 4 other names. The record is from RNAcentral.
AAAUUGAAGAGUUUGAUCAUGGCUCAGAUUGAACGCUGGCGGCAGGCCUAACACAUGCAAGUCGAACGGUAACAGGAAGCAGCUUGCUGCUUUGCUGACGAGUGGCGGACGGGUGAGUAAUGUCUGGGAAACUGCCUGAUGGAGGGGGAUAACUACUGGAAACGGUGGCUAAUACCGCAUAACGUCGCAAGACCAAAGAGGGGGACCUUCGGGCCUCUUGCCAUCAGAUGUGCCCAGAUGGGAUUAGCUUGUUGGUGAGGUAACGGCUCACCAAGGCGACGAUCCCUAGCUGGUCUGAGAGGAUGACCAGCCACACUGGAACUGAGACACGGUCCAGACUCCUACGGGAGGCAGCAGUGGGGAAUAUUGCACAAUGGGCGCAAGCCUGAUGCAGCCAUGCCGCGUGUAUGAAGAAGGCCUUCGGGUUGUAAAGUACUUUCAGCGGGGAGGAAGGUGUUGUGGUUAAUAACCGCAGCAAUUGACGUUACCCGCAGAAGAAGCACCGGCUAACUCCGUGCCAGCAGCCGCGGUAAUACGGAGGGUGCAAGCGUUAAUCGGAAUUACUGGGCGUAAAGCGCACGCAGGCGGUCUGUCAAGUCGGAUGUGAAAUCCCCGGGCUCAACCUGGGAACUGCAUUCGAAACUGGCAGGCUUGAGUCUUGUAGAGGGGGGUAGAAUUCCAGGUGUAGCGGUGAAAUGCGUAGAGAUCUGGAGGAAUACCGGUGGCGAAGGCGGCCCCCUGGACAAAGACUGACGCUCAGGUGCGAAAGCGUGGGGAGCAAACAGGAUUAGAUACCCUGGUAGUCCACGCCGUAAACGAUGUCUACUUGGAGGUUGUGCCCUUGAGGCGUGGCUUCCGGAGCUAACGCGUUAAGUAGACCGCCUGGGGAGUACGGCCGCAAGGUUAAAACUCAAAUGAAUUGACGGGGGCCCGCACAAGCGGUGGAGCAUGUGGUUUAAUUCGAUGCAACGCGAAGAACCUUACCUGGUCUUGACAUCCACAGAAGAAUCCAGAGAUGGAUUUGUGCCUUCGGGAACUGUGAGACAGGUGCUGCAUGGCUGUCGUCAGCUCGUGUUGUGAAAUGUUGGGUUAAGUCCCGCAACGAGCGCAACCCUUAUCCUUUGUUGCCAGCGAUUAGGUCGGGAACUCAAAGGAGACUGCCAGUGAUAAACUGGAGGAAGGUGGGGAUGACGUCAAGUCAUCAUGGCCCUUACGACCAGGGCUACACACGUGCUACAAUGGCGCAUACAAAGAGAAGCGACCUCGCGAGAGCAAGCGGACCUCAUAAAGUGCGUCGUAGUCCGGAUUGGAGUCUGCAACUCGACUCCAUGAAGUCGGAAUCGCUAGUAAUCGUGGAUCAGAAUGCCACGGUGAAUACGUUCCCGGGCCUUGUACACACCGCCCGUCACACCAUGGGAGUGGGUUGCAAAAGAAGUAGGUAGCUUAACCUUCGGGAGGGCGCUUACCACUUUGUGAUUCAUGACUGGGGUGAAGUCGUAACAAGGUAACCGUAGGGGAACCUGCGGUUGGAUCACCUCCUUACCUUAAAGAAGC